This 253-nucleotide ribosomal RNA is filed under the name uncultured bacterium. RNAcentral's name for it is "partial 16S ribosomal RNA". It matches the Rfam family "Bacterial small subunit ribosomal RNA", at positions 524 to 776 of the family's 1533-position model. The record is from RNAcentral.
UACGUAGGGGGCUAGCGUUGUCCGGAAUCAUUGGGCGUAAAGAGCGUGUAGGCGGCCCGGUAAGUCCGCUGUAAAAGUCAAAGGCUCAACCUUUGAAUGUCAGUGGAUACUGCCGGGCUAGAGUCCGGAAGAGGCGAGUGGAACUCCUGGUGUAGCGGUGGAAUGCGUAGAGAUCCGGAAGAACACCGGUGGCGAAGGCGGUCUGCUGGGGUCGAACUGACGCUGAGGCGCGACAGCGUGGGGAGCAAACAGG